Molecule: transfer RNA, 72 nt
Filed under: Fukomys damarensis (Damara mole-rat)
Lineage: Eukaryota; Metazoa; Chordata; Mammalia; Rodentia; Bathyergidae
Rfam family: tRNA
About the family: Transfer RNA (tRNA) molecules are approximately 80 nucleotides in length. Their secondary structure includes four short double-helical elements and three loops (D, anti-codon, and T loops). Further hydrogen bonds mediate the characteristic L-shaped molecular structure. tRNAs have two regions of fundamental functional importance: the anti-codon, which is responsible for specific mRNA codon recognition, and the 3' end, to which the tRNAs corresponding amino acid is attached (by aminoacyl-tRNA synthetases). tRNAs cope with the degeneracy of the genetic code in two manners: having more than one tRNA (with a specific anti-codon) for a particular amino acid; and 'wobble' base-pairing, i.e. permitting non-standard base-pairing at the 3rd anti-codon position.
Source: Rfam by way of RNAcentral
AGAGAUAUAGCUAAGUGGUAAAGCAUUUGCCUAGCAUGUGUGAGACCCUGGGUUUGAUUCCCAGAAGCACCA